AUUCCAGCUCCAAUAGCGUAUACUAAUGUUGUUGCAGUUAAAAAGCUCGUAGUUGAAUUUCUGGAUUUAAUUUCUGGUCCGAGGCCUUGUGUCUUGUGUACUUUGAUUUUAUUAAAUCCAUCUUAGUAGUGAAUGUUACUGGCAUUGAGUUAUCGGUAGCAGGAACUGCUUCUUUUACUGUGAAUAAAAUAGAGUGUUCAAAGCAGGCAUUACGCCUUGAAUACUUCAGCAUGGAAUAAAAAAAUAGGGCUUUGGCGCUAUUUUAUUGGUUUGCACACCGAGUAAUGAUUAAUAGGGAUAGUUGGGGGUAUUCAUAUUUGAUUGUCAGAGGUGAAAUUCUUGGAUUUAUUAAAGACUAACUUAUGCGAAAGCAUUUGCCAAGGAUGUUUUCAUUA
Molecule: ribosomal RNA, 395 nt
Filed under: Stramenopiles sp. MAST-12A
Lineage: Eukaryota
Description: partial small subunit ribosomal RNA
Rfam family: Eukaryotic small subunit ribosomal RNA
Source: RNAcentral